RNAcentral lists this ribosomal RNA (602 nucleotides) under uncultured organism. RNAcentral describes it as "bacterial SSU rRNA". It matches the Rfam family "Bacterial small subunit ribosomal RNA", at positions 845 to 1445 of the family's 1533-position model. The record is from RNAcentral.
GCCGUAGCUAACGUGUUAAGUGCACCGCCUGGGGAGUACGGCCGCAAGGCUAAAACUCAAAGAAAUUGACGGGGGCCCGCACAAGCGGUGGAGCAUGUGGCUUAAUUCGAUGCAACGCGAAGAACCUUACCUGGGCUUGACAUGGCGAGACUUCGGUCUAAACCGGUGAAAGUCGGUUGAACGCACACAGGUGCUGCAUGGCUGUCGUCAGCUCGUGCCGUGAGGUGUUGGGUUAAGUCCCGCAACGAGCGCAACCCUUGUGGGUAGUUGCCACCCCCGUUCUGCGGGGAGCACUCUACUCAGACUGCCCGUGACAAGCGGGAGGAAGGUGGGGAUGACGUCAAGUCCGUAUGGCCCUUAUGCCCAGGGCUGCACACGUGCUACAAUGGUCGGUACAGAAAGAUGCAAGACCGCGAGGUGGAGCAAAUCUCCAAAACCGGCCCCAGUUCGGAUUGCAGUCUGCAACUCGACUGCAUGAAGCCGGAAUCGCUAGUAACGGCGUAUCAGCUACGACGCCGUGAAUACGUUCCCGGGCAUUGUACACACCGCCCGUCACAUCAUGANAGCCGAUUGACUCCGAAGUCGUCGAUUCAACCCGCAAG